Molecule: ribosomal RNA, 406 nt
Filed under: uncultured bacterium
Lineage: Bacteria
Description: partial 16S ribosomal RNA
Rfam family: Bacterial small subunit ribosomal RNA
Source: RNAcentral
GACGAACGCUGGCGGCGUGCCUAAUACAUGCAAGUCGAACGAGUGGCGGACGGGUGAGUAAUGUCUGGGAAACUGCCUGAUGGACGGGGAUAACUACUGGAAACGGUAGCUAAUACCGCAUACCAUCGGAUGUGCCCAGAGGGGAUUAGCUAGUCGGUGGGGUAACGGCUCACCUAGGCGACGAUCCCUAGCUGGUCUGAGAGGAUGACCAGCCACACUGGAACUGAGACACGGUCCAGACUCCUACGGGAGGCAGCAGUGGGGAAUAUUGCACAAUGGGCGCAAGCCUGAUGCAGCCAUGCCGCGUGUGUGAAGAAGGCCUUCGGGUUGUAAAGUACUUUCAGCGGGGAGGCGGUACCCGCAGAAGAAGCACCGGCUAACUCCGUGCCAGCCGCCGCGGUAAUAC